AUGCACAAGGAUUCCAUACUCUGCAACCUCCGCAUUCCCCUCAUUUCAGACUUGAUCAACAGAUACUGACACGCUUCGACGUGAUGUCAUUUACAACUGGCUGGAGGAAGCAGAGUGUGGCCAUCCUGAGGAUAUUGAUGGCAAGGUUCUGGUCAUGCUUGAGUUUGAAAACAAGAUGCCUAUGUAAGACUGAAAUGAAGAGGAAGUAAUUAUAUGGAAGUGAGGUGAGUAUUUUAACUUUAUACGUGAUGGAAGCUGUGGAGUGUAGCGGGGACUCACAAGAGUCCAACCAAAAACCAAGCGGAACACAAGUUGUGUGCACGAGAUGUAUUUUAUUCUGUACAGUACAGCUCCCUACUCCUCACUGGUCAUGGCCUUAAAUACCCACUCAGGUAAAACCCCAUAGCUAGCACCUCCCUCACCGAGGCCUCCCUCCAGAGCUGAGGGUUCGUUGUGCCCAUGGUUUGCCACCAGGUGCCGCCACAGGAGGCUGAAUCUUUGAACAUAUUCAAACCAGAGACAGAUAAUUGUUAAAUCAGGAAGGGAAUCAAGGACUGGAAAGUAAGUGAGGAAUGAUGAACGUCCAGGAUCUUAUUGGAUGGUGGAUCAAACUUGAGGAGCCAGAUGUCUUCGUAUGUUCCUACAGCUCAGGGUCUUAUUUCUGCCCAGCUGAUGACCAGGGCUGAAUCCUCACUGCAGCAAUGUUAUACAGCGUGCAACACAUAACGAAGUCUAGGAACACAGUUAGUAUAAGCGAGUUCGGUAUUUCGAAAAAACACAAGGGAUUUGUCAAAGGUCACAAGCAACAAAAAUCUCGGUAAUCACUGCCGAACCGCCA
Molecule: long non-coding RNA, 838 nt
Organism: Leucoraja erinaceus (little skate)
Lineage: Eukaryota; Metazoa; Chordata; Chondrichthyes; Rajiformes; Rajidae
Exons: 3
Source: RefSeq, a predicted model, not a curated record